This 385-nucleotide long non-coding RNA is filed under the name Ursus maritimus (polar bear). RNAcentral describes it as "lncRNA (ENSUMAG00000008028.1)". The record is from RNAcentral. Lineage: Eukaryota; Metazoa; Chordata; Mammalia; Carnivora; Ursidae.
AUGUAUAAUUAUGCUGUCUUUUCUGCGACAUGCGUGCUCCUAUUCAAGCUGAGUAGUUUACACAAGGUGAAUAAAAAGGGAAUGACGGCGUAUGACGUGGACUUCGGUGCAAACACAGUUUUCCUUGAGCUUCACCGCAUCCCGGGAGCAGCAGCUGGAUUCAAAGUCCGCCAACAAACAGCCAGAGGCAGCAGUCCAGGCAGGACAGCAGGCUGGGCACCUUGCUCGUUUCAUCCUUGUUCUUCCUCUGGACUCAGGGGGCCAGACACCUGCUUCAUCUAAAUGUUACUGAAACGUGAAGAAUACUCUGAUGAAGAUGAAAUCCUUAUAACCCAUCUACUCUCCAGAAGUCUUUGAGACUUAACCAGGAAAGCAUACGUAAAAU